RNAcentral lists this ribosomal RNA (501 nucleotides) under uncultured bacterium. RNAcentral describes it as "partial 16S ribosomal RNA". It matches the Rfam family "Bacterial small subunit ribosomal RNA", at positions 30 to 523 of the family's 1533-position model. The record is from RNAcentral.
AUUGAACGCUGGCGGAAUGCUUUACACAUGCAAGUCGAACGGCAGCACGGGUGCUUGCACCUGGUGGCGAGUGGCGAACGGGUGAGUAAUACAUCGGAACGUACCCAGUCGUGGGGAUAACGUAGCGAAAGUUACGCUAAUACCGCAUACGUCCUGAGGGAGAAAGCGGGGGACCGUAAGGCCUCGCGCGAUUGGAGCGGCCGAUGUCUGAUUAGCUAGUUGGUGAGGUAAAGGCUCACCAAGGCGACGAUCAGUAGCUGGUCUGAGAGGAUGAUCAGCCACACUGGAACUGAGACACGGGCCAGACUCCUAAGGGAGGCAGCAGUGGGGAAUUUUGGACAAUGGGCGAAAGCCUGAUCCAGCCAUUCCGCGUGAGUGAAGAAGGCCUUCGGGUUGUAAAGCUCUUUCGGCAGGAACGAAACGCUCUAGAUUAAUACUCUGGGGUAAUGACGGUACCUGAAGAAGAAGCACCGGCUAACUACGUGCCAGCCGCCACAGUAA